RNAcentral lists this ribosomal RNA (1008 nucleotides) under uncultured eukaryote. RNAcentral describes it as "SSU rRNA". It matches the Rfam family "Eukaryotic small subunit ribosomal RNA", at positions 640 to 1665 of the family's 1831-position model. The record is from RNAcentral.
UUCUGUGGGGACGGAGCGGCCGGCCGCAACUUGCGGUUCGAGCUAGCGCUUUCCCUACAUCCUGCCGCGAACCGUGCUACCAUUAGUUUGGUGGCGCCGGGGAUCGGCUCGUUUACUUUGAGAAAAAUAGAGUGUUCAAAGCAGGCCACACGCCUUGAAUAAGUUAGCAUGGAAUAAUAAUAAAGGACUUCGGUUCUAUUUUGUUGGUGUUCGGGACUGAAGUAAUGAUUGAUAGGGACAGUUGGGGCGGUCAGUAUUCCAAAGCGAGAGGUGAAAUUCUUAGACCUUCGGAAGACUAACAGCUGCGAAAGCGUUCCGCAAGGAUGUUCCCUUUGAUCAAGAACGAAAGUUGGGGGAUCGAAGACGAUCAGAUACCGUCGUAGUCUCAACUAUAAACUAUACCAGCUAGGGAUCGGCCAACGUUAAAUUAUUCGACUUGGUCGGCACCUUAUGAGAAAUCAAAGCAUCUGGGUUCCGGGGGGAGUAUGGUCGCAAGGCUGAAACUUAAAGGAAUUGACGGAAGGGCACCACCAGCCGUGGAGCCUGUGGCUUAAUUUGACUCAACACGGGAAAACUUACCAGGUCCAGACAUAGUAAGGAUUGACAGAUUGAUAGCUCUUUCUUGAUUCUGUGGGUGGUGGUGCAUGGCCGUUCUUAGUUGGUGGAGUGAUUUGUCUGGUUAAUUCCGUUAACGAACGAGACCCCAGCCUGCUAAAUAGCGUGGUUGAGCUUUGCUCGGCGCAAGCUUCUUAGAGGGACUAUGAUGCGCGAUAGCACAUGGAAGUUUGGGGCAAUAACAGGUCUGUGAUGCCCUUAGAUGUUCUGGGCCGCACACGGGCUACACUGGCGCCUGCAACGAGCAUAUCAGCUGGCCCGAGAGGGUCUUGGCUAAUCUUUUGAACCGGCGCCGUGCUUGGGAUUGACCAUUGCAAUUGUUGGUCAUGCAACGAGGAAUGCCUUGUAAACGCGAGUCAUCACUCGCAUUGAAUACGUCCCUGCCCUUUGUAC